UUGGAGGGCAAGUCUGGUGCCAGCAGCCGCGGUAAUUCCAGCUCCAAUAGCGUAUAUUAAAGUUGUUGCAGUUAAAAAGCUCGUAGUUGAAUUUCGGGAUCAAUAUGCCGGUCAUGCCUUGGUAUGCACUGGUAUCUUUGAUUUCUCCCUUCUGACGAACUUUGAUGUCAUUAAUUUGGUGUCAUAGGGAAUCGGGACUGUUACUUUGAAAAAAUUAGAGUGUUUAAAGCAGGCUCACGCUUGAAUACAUUAGCAUGGAAUAAUGAAAUAGGACGUUUGAUUCUAUUUUGUUGGUUUCUAGGAUCGACGUAAUGAUUAAUAGGGAUAGUUGGG
RNAcentral lists this small RNA (333 nucleotides) under uncultured Glomeraceae. Its description in RNAcentral is "SSU rRNA". It matches the Rfam family "Eukaryotic small subunit ribosomal RNA", at positions 548 to 886 of the family's 1831-position model. The record is from RNAcentral. Lineage: Eukaryota; Fungi; Glomeromycota; Glomeromycetes; Glomerales; Glomeraceae.